AUUGAACGCUGGCGGCAGGCUUAACACAUGCAAGUCGAACGGUAACAUAAAGGAGCUUGCUUCUUUGAUGACGAGUGGCGGACGGGUGAGUAAUGCUUGGGAAUCUAGCUUAUGGAGGGGGAUGACUACGGGAAACUGUAGCUAAUACCGCGUAGAAUCGGGAGAUGAAAGUGUGGGACCUUCGGGCCACAUGCCAUAGGAUGAGCCCAAGUGGGAUUAGGUAGUUGGUGAGGUAAAGGCUCACCAAGCCGACGAUCUCUAGCUGGUCUGAGAGGAUGACCAGCCACACUGGGACUGAGACACGGCCCAGACUCCUACGGGAGGCAGCAGUGGGGAAUAUUGCGCAAAGGGGGCAACCCUGACGCAGCCAUGCCGCGUGAAUGAAGAAGGCCUUCGGGUUGUAAAGUUCUUUCGGUAGCGAGGAAGGCAUUUAGUUUAAUAGACUAGGUGAUUGACGUUAACUACAGAAGAAGCACCGGCUAACUCCGUG
Molecule: ribosomal RNA, 490 nt
Filed under: uncultured bacterium
Lineage: Bacteria
Description: partial 16S ribosomal RNA
Rfam family: Bacterial small subunit ribosomal RNA
Source: RNAcentral